Long non-coding RNA from Paramacrobiotus metropolitanus, 150 nucleotides. RefSeq lists it as uncharacterized. The record is from RefSeq and is a predicted model, not a curated record. Lineage: Eukaryota; Metazoa; Tardigrada; Eutardigrada; Parachela; Macrobiotidae. The transcript has 3 exons.
AUAUCGAUGUCGUUGUUGAGGUCAAUUGUGCAUGGAAGUAAUCCUGAUUAAAACAGCUUAUCGUGCUGGUUAAGUAUGGUAGCAUGCGUCUUUGCAACAACCGGCUUCCAGUGGAGGAGUAAGGGUUUAUACGUCCCAGCAUUCUUUCCC